GUGUUCACUCUGGCAGCACAUAUACCAAAAUUGGGUUACUAUGAAAAUUAGCAUGUCCCUGCACAAGGAAGACACACUAUUUCAGGAAGCAUUCCAUAGUAUU
This is a small nuclear RNA of Nannospalax galili (Upper Galilee mountains blind mole rat), 103 nucleotides long. The record is from Ensembl. NCBI's taxonomy places the organism in Eukaryota, Metazoa, Chordata, Mammalia, Rodentia, Spalacidae.